This 277-nucleotide ribosomal RNA is filed under the name uncultured Lactobacillus sp. Its description in RNAcentral is "partial 16S ribosomal RNA". It matches the Rfam family "Bacterial small subunit ribosomal RNA", at positions 260 to 525 of the family's 1533-position model. The record is from RNAcentral. Lineage: Bacteria; Bacillati; Bacillota; Bacilli; Lactobacillales; Lactobacillaceae.
CGGGCUUACCAAGGCGAUGAUGCAUAGCCCGAGUUGAGAGACUGAUCGGCACAUUGGGGACUGAGACACGGGCCCAAACUCUACGGGAGGCAGCAGUAGGGAAUCUUCCACAAUGGACGAAAGUCUGAUGGAGCAAACGCCGCGUGAGUGAAGAAGGUUUUCGGAUCGUAAAGCUCUGUUGUUGGUGAAGAAGGAUAGAGGUAGUAACUGGCCCUUUAUUUGACGGUAAUCAACCAGAAAGUCACGGGCUAACUACGUGCCAGCAGCCGCGGUAAAU